RNAcentral lists this ribosomal RNA (479 nucleotides) under uncultured bacterium. RNAcentral describes it as "partial 16S ribosomal RNA". It matches the Rfam family "Bacterial small subunit ribosomal RNA", at positions 28 to 507 of the family's 1533-position model. The record is from RNAcentral.
GAUGAACGCUAGCGGGAGGCCCAACACAUGCAAGCCGAGCGGUAUUGUUUCUUCGGCAAUGAGAGAGCGGCGUACGGGUGCGUAACACGUGUGCAACCUGCCUUUAUCUGGGGGAUAGCCUUUCGAAAGGAAGAUUAAUACUCCAUAAUAUAUUGAACGGCAUCGUUUAAUAUUGAAAGCUCCGGCGGAUAGAGAUGGGCACGCGCAAGAUUAGCUAGUUGGUGAGGUAACGGCUCACCAAGGCGAUGAUCUUUAGGGGGCCUGAGAGGGUGAUCCCCCACACUGGUACUGAGACACGGACCAGACUCCUACGGGAGGCAGCAGUGAGGAAUAUUGGUCAAUGGGUGCAAGCCUGAACCAGCCAUCCCGCGUGAAGGACGACUGCCCUAUGGGUUGUAAACUUCUUUUGUAUAGGGAUAAACCUACCCUCGAGAGGGUAGCUGAAGGUACUAUACGAAUAAGCACCGGCUAACUCCGUG